This 72-nucleotide transfer RNA is filed under the name Nitrospina sp. RNAcentral's name for it is "tRNA-Thr". It matches the Rfam family "tRNA". Rfam says of the family: Transfer RNA (tRNA) molecules are approximately 80 nucleotides in length. Lineage: Bacteria; Pseudomonadati; Nitrospinota; Nitrospinia; Nitrospinales; Nitrospinaceae. The record is from RNAcentral. RNAcentral also lists the same sequence under 1 other name.
GCCCACGUAGCUCAGGGGUAGAGCACUUCCUUGGUAAGGAAGAGGUCAUCGGUUCAAUCCCGAUCGUGGGCU